UACGAAGGGAGCUAGCGUUGUUCGGAAUCACUGGGCGUAAAGCGCACGUAGGCGGAUGUGUCAGUCAGGGGUGAAAUCCCGGAGCUCAACUUCGGAACUGCCCUUGAUACAGCACAUCUUGAGUCCGGAAGAGGUGGGUGGAAUUCCUAGUGUAGAGGUGAAAUUCGUAGAUAUUAGGAAGAACACCAGUGGCGAAGGCGGCUCACUGGCCCGGUACUGACGCUGAGGCGCGAAAGCGUGGGGAGCAAACAGG
This 253-nucleotide ribosomal RNA is filed under the name uncultured bacterium. Its description in RNAcentral is "partial 16S ribosomal RNA". It matches the Rfam family "Bacterial small subunit ribosomal RNA", at positions 524 to 776 of the family's 1533-position model. The record is from RNAcentral.